RNAcentral lists this ribosomal RNA (557 nucleotides) under [Candida] sp. BG03-3-25-1-3. RNAcentral describes it as "eukaryotic LSU rRNA". It matches the Rfam family "Eukaryotic large subunit ribosomal RNA", at positions 40 to 604 of the family's 3401-position model. The record is from RNAcentral. Lineage: Eukaryota; Fungi; Ascomycota; Saccharomycetes; Saccharomycetales.
AUAUCAAUAAGCGGAGGAAAAGAAACCAACAGGGAUUGCCUUAGUAACGGCGAGUGAAGCGGCAAAAGCUCAAAUUUGAAAUCUGGCACCUUCGGUGUCCGAGUUGUAAUUUGAAGAAGGUAACUUUGGAGUCAGCUCUUGUCUAUGUUCCUUGGAACAGGACGUCACAGAGGGUGAGAAUCCCGUGCGAUGAGAUGUCUGAUUCUAUGUAAAGUGCUUUCGAAGAGUCGAGUUGUUUGGGAAUGCAGCUCUAAGUGGGUGGUAAAUUCCAUCUAAAGCUAAAUAUUGGCGAGAGACCGAUAGCGAACAAGUACAGUGAUGGAAAGAUGAAAAGAACUUUGAAAAGAGAGUGAAAAAGUACGUGAAAUUGUUGAAAGGGAAGGGUUUGAGAUCAGACUUGGUAUUUUGUAUGUCUUGCUUUCGGGUGGGGCCUCUACAGUUUACUGGGCCAGCAUCGGUUUGGACGGUAGGAUAAUGACAUUGGAAUGUGGCACCACUUCGGUGGUGUGUUAUAGACUUUGUUGAUACUGCCUGUCUAGACCGAGGACUGCGUCUUU